GAACUUAAUGUUCCGACAUUUUGGUUUUUCUGGUGACCUCUUGAUUUUUCUGGUGACCACCCCCUUCCUGAAGCUUUAAGGAACCACCUUAAAGCAAUCAUUAGCAUAAAAUCAAAUGUCAUUCAGUAGGCCACCAUAGGAAGAACAAAAGACAUGCCUAUCAUUCAGGAAAUUUCUAGAGUUUUAGUAGCUCUACACCAGGAAGCAGCAACGAAGACCGAAUACAUUUAUAUUGCUACAGUUCCACAUAAGUUUGGGCCUUAAUUUUAAGCCUUACCUGACACAUGCCUCCAAAAACAGCUGGUAUAUAAUUCCUUCUCCUUGUGACCAAAAGAAUGUGGUAAAGUGAUGCCACGUGGUUUCCAAGGAGAUGGUCAUAAUACUUCUUAGAAUGCCGCUUUCUUUGGAGUGCCUCAUAACCCAUCUGUGAAGCAGGGAGAAGUCCAAGUUUCUUCAUGAAGAGGAUCAGAUCAAGGUAGCCAAUUGAGAGUUUCUGGAUUUUUCUCCUUGCAAGAACUAUCUACUCGAAUAAAGGAAAAAGGGGAGGGAAUGGGAGAAAAAAAAAAUCCUUAAAGCCUACUAUCUAGGAUACGACAUGACCUUUGCUUCUCAAGUCUCCUUAUUCCCAUCUUGGCUGGGACUGUUGUGGGAAAUCAGGGAACCAGAGAGAAUGAUGAGGUUACAGGAAGAUUUAUUUAAGGUGUACACCUGCUCAGUGGAUUCACAUCCAGAAUGUCUGAGCAAUGGACAAAGAGAGCAAGUGUCUUUUAUGCAUCCAGAGGCGUGAAAUCAUGAAGCAGGAAGCAGGUUUUACUGAAGCAAGAACACAAGCAGUUAAUCAAAACUGUGACCGGCUUACUUAUGACUCUUGGUAUGCGGGCCUGAUGCUCAUCUUGGACUUGGGCUGAUUAGGACAGAAUCUCAGAGCUGACACAAAAGACACUCCUGAGGACUGAGUCUGGAAAAUGUGAGAAGGAAGUUAAUUUUGGCAAAUUUCUGAGAAAUGGAAAGAAGUAUCCACAAGAAAUUUCAUUUGUAAGAGGGACUUAAUACCAGAAAAGAUGAAAAGAUUUUAAUCAUCCCAGGAGGGCUAUAUGGUCCUUUAUUGAGAUGGCCUUAUCCAAACCAGAACCCAAGUAAAGUAAAAAAAUCUCUACCAAAAGGAUGAGGAUUGAUCUGAGUAAAGACUCACCAGGGCAGAAAAGGUAAGCUGUGAAGGCGGAGGGCUCAAAGGGCUCUAGUGAGUCCUACAUACCAGUUCUGAGAAUUGCUAAUUCCUUCAGAUAGUGAACUUCUUAAAAUCGUACUUCUGACAUCAUACAUGUCAACCUGAAUAACAAACAGAGGCACUCACUAAUAGAAAAUAAUGUUUACUUGGAAAUACGGCAUUAAAAAUGGACCACACAUGCCAUAGUAAUCUAUGUAUAUUCAGGGAGGCAGAAAAGGCAAAGGUUUUUAGAGGAGAAAAGUGGGAAUGAUGUAGUUGUUUUGAAAUAAUCAUUCUUGGCUACAAGAGUAAUUAAUAACAAGGAUGGUGCUAGUCUGAAGCUGGACAGGCCAUUUCUGGGCAGAUGUUCUUACACAAGUAUUUUUUGAAUAAGGUGAUGGCCUUUAUGCAAGAUUCUGGUCUUUGUAGAGUAUGUUUUAUUAUCAGAUAUUCAAGGAUUUAAACUCUUUCCUCAUGGCCUUGCCUGGCUCUAUUUUUUAGCGCUUUCUUAGGAUUAGUGACUCGAUUUUGAUUCUGACCAUUUUUCACAACAUGUAUACUACCAAACCCAAUGUUUUAUGAAACAUUACAAUAUAUGUAAUAUCGCAUCGUUUUCUAUUCUUUUUCAUUUUUCAAAAAUACUGGUGAUAAUCACUGAAUAGAUCUUAUGACAAUUUGAAUGAGUUGUAACCCACAAUUUAAAAUCUUAAAACAUUGAAAAACUGCUUUUAAAAUUGAAGGCAUUGAAAGAACCUAAGAGUAGCAAAUAGUCUGAUAAUUCAGUUUGAGAGCAGUUACGUUUGAAAUUAAGACUUUAAAGGUGGUACAGCUAUGGGUCAUAAGAAGGCCUAGCAUACAUUUAUUGAAAUAGUAGCUGAAUAGUCUGAUAAUGCAGUUUACUCUGUGCAUACUCAUAGAAGUUACUCUCAGAUCAGUAUAAUAGAUGAACUGAAUGUUAAGAUUCAUUUAUUAAUUUAUUCAAGGAGUAUUUCUUGAGAGCAUGCCUUAUCCCUGACACUGUUCUUGAUUGCUGUACAUUAAUGUACAUAAUGUACAACAAUCUACAACAGAGUCAGAAAUGUACAUUAAAUUAUAUAUAAAUAAAUCUUUGUUAUGGAACUUAUUUGUCAUAAACAGAUAAUAACAGAUAAGCCUGUAAUAUAAUGAAAAGUCAUAUAAAUAAUAUGAAUAAAAAUCCAGCCUUAUGAGACAAUGGUUAAUGACUAAUUUGGUUUGUCUGUGUCCCCCCCUAAAUCUCCUCUUGAAUUGUAGCUCCUAUAAUCCCCAUGUGUCAUGUGAGGGACUCAGUGGGAGGUAAUUGAAUCAUUGGGGUGGGCCUUUCCUGUGCUGUUCUUGUGACAGUGAAUAAGUCUCAUGAGAUCUGAUGGUUUUAUGAAGAGGAGCUUCCCUGCACAUGCCCUCUUGCCUGCCACCAUGUAAGACAUGACUUUGCUCCUCAAUCACUGUCUGGCAUGAUUGUGAGGCCUCCCCAGCCAUGUGGAACUGUGAGUCAAUUAAACCUCUUUUUUUUAUAAAUUACCCAGUCUUGGGUAUGUCUUUAUUAGCAGCAUGAGAAUAGAUUAAUACAAGGACUAACAGGGACAUUUGAUUUUAGAUAGGGUACUCACAGAAGAGUCACAGAUGAGGAAAAGAGAUAUAUGAAGAUCAGUCUACUAAAGAAUGUUGAGGCAAGAGGAACAACAAUGCAAAACCUUUGAGGCAAUAAUGAGUGUAAUGUAUUUUAAUACCAAGAAGGCCAAAAGUCUAAACUGCUUAGAAAGGACACUGGAGGACAUACAUGGAGCCUGAUGAUACAGCACUUUUUAAACAGUAUGGAAAGCCAUUGCAGGAUUUUGAGGAGAAGCAUGGCAUGAACUGUUAUAAAUUUUACAAAAUUCACUUUGAGGAUGAUUGACUGAAGUGGGCAAACAGGAAAGCAGGGAGAGCACUACAGAGGCCUUCAUACCAGUAUUAGUAAUAGAUAAAAGUGGCUUUUAUUAUGGGGGAAAAUGCUUCAGGAUAUAUUUUGAAGAUAAAUCUGGGAGGGGUAUCAGAUUGGCUGGAAUAAGGGUAUAAUAAGGCAAUGAGAACAGUUAAAAAUGGCAAUAAAUUUCUUGGGACAGGUAGUUGUGUACAUGGUGAUACUCAUCACUGAAAUAAGAAAGACAGAGGGAGAAAAAGAAUUGUAAUGAACAAUGAAGAGUUCUGCCUUGGAAAUGCAAUAGUUGAGAGGUAUACUACAAUAGUGAGGGGCUGGUGAGAGGAAAGUUGUAUGUAUAAGCUUGAAACUUGGGAGAUGUAUACAGCUAGAACUAUAUGUUCAGCAUAUAGUUAGGUAUAUAGCUAGAACUAUAUGUUCAGCAUAUAUAAAUAGGUAGAUGAUAUUUAUUUAUUUAAUUUUUUAUUGCAUUUUAGGUUUUGGGGUACAUGUGCAGAGCAUGCAAGACAGUUACAUAGGUACACACAUAGCAGUGUGUUUUGCUUCCUUUCUCCCCUUCACCCACAUUUGGCAUUUCUCCCCAGGCUAUCCCUCCCCAGCUCCUUCCCGCCCGCUAGCCCUCCCCUUUACCCCCAAUAGACCCCAGUGUUUAGUACUCCCCUCCGUGUGUCCAUGUGUUCUCAUUUUUCAUCACCCGCCUAUGAGUGAGAAUAUGCGGUAUUUCAUUUUCUGUUCUUGUGUCAGUUUGCUGAGAAUGAUGUUCUCCAGAUUCAUCCAUUUCCCUACAAAUGACACAAACUCAUCAUUUCUGAUUGCUGCAUAAUAUUCCAUGGUGUAUAUGUGCCACAUUUUCCCAAUCCAGUCUAUCAUCAAUGGGCAUUUGGGUUGAUUCCAGGUCUUUACUAUUGUAAACAGUGCUGCAAUGAACAUUAUAUUUAAAAGAUACAAUUAGAAAAGUUCAUCUUAGGGACUAGUGAAGAUAAAGGAGAGAUGAAUUGCAAGACUGGAACCUGGAAUAUCCAACAUUUAUUAAUAAGGAAAAUGAAGUGAGGCUAGUUAAGGAUACUGAGAAGGCGGGGUGUGUAUGAUGCAGAAAAAAAAAGACCAGAAUUCUAUACUCCAGAAGUCUAGUGAAGAAAAUGUUUCAAGAAGGACAUUUGUUUUGUAAAAUGCUAUUGAGAGGUCAACAAGGACUAAGAUUUGGCAUUUGAGUUUGGCAAGAUGGUGGUCUCUUGUGACAAGGGUCAUUUCAGUGAAGUUGUAGGGAGUAAAGCCUGAAGAGAGUGCGUUCAAGAGAAAAGGUUAGAUGAAAAGAAAAUUAGUGCAGGCUACACAUCUGAGAAGAUUUGCUAUAAAAUGGAACAGGAAAUGAUCAGAUAUUUGCAGAUGCUUCAUGACACAAUGGGUGUAGGUAUUUUGUUUUGUUUUAUUUUUUGAUGGAACAUCUUACAGUACAUUUUCUUUCUGAUGGACAUAAUUAGUAGAAAAAGAUAAACUGAUGACAAACAAGAAUACUUAAUUUCAGAACCAUGUUCUUACACAGAUGACAAUGAAAGAAUUAUUCUUAGGAAUGUAGGGUUCAUUCAUUGUAACAGAAAUGAAGAGAAAUGCUUUGGUAUAGAUGCAGAAUUAUUGAUAGAUUUGGUGGUGGGCAAAUUAGAUAAGUUCACUUAUAAUUGCUUCUAUUUUCCCAGCAAAAUAAGACAUAAGACUAUCAAUCAACAAGGAGUAGAAAAUGAGAGGGUGAAUUGGCUAGCAGAUGAGUUCUUAUCUGUAGCAUGUGGUCAGAAAUUCAAAAACUAAAAAGCAUGGCUAUGUGUUUUCUCCCAUUAUGUUUAGUAAUAGGAAAAGCAUAGGUGAAGAGUUAGAUUUUGACAGAAGAACACAAUCAAAGUGAGGAAGGAGAAGGAAGAUGAAAGUGGUAAAGUAUGGGAGUUAAAAGUGUAUGUAAGUGGGUGGUUUUCAUCAUGGAAGUAAACUGGAUAAUGAUAGAGUGGAAGACCUGAUGGAGUUCAGGGCUAAUAAAAUAAGUAGUAAGAUCAAUGAAUUGGACUAAAGAUGAGAGUGAUUAAUUGCCAGAGUGUGGGGGGCAGAGUAAGUUAGUUGGAAUCUUCAUCAUACAUUUUGAUGCUUGAAAUUGAGAUUUUAAAUGUGGUUCAACUACAGAUCAUAAUAAAGUCUGGUGUACAUUUAUUGCAACAGUGGCUAAAGAAGUGUAAAGAAAAAUAGAGUUUGAGUUGAGACAAUCAAGAACUGAGAUACUAAAUUGUCGAGUAAAUCACAUCUGUAAAUGUUCAAGUCAUCAAGGAUACAGUGACUCAGUAUGAAAACCUUCAAAGGUUAAAGAACGCUUGAAAGGUCUGUAUAUAAAAGGAUAACUAGAUGGUAUAAUCUGAUGGAAUGUAUUUCAGAAGAGCUGCAUUUUUCCACAGAAGGAGAAGAAGCUUUCUCAAUGUACAAAUAUGAUUUAAGGAUACCUACUCCAGAUCUAGUCCUUAUGGUAAAUAGGGUUUGGUAUCAUCAUCUUUGUCAUCCUCAUUAUUCUAUUUAUUAUUAUUUUAAUCAUCUUCAAUAUUAUUACCAGUAUUAGUGUUAGCAGUAGUAUUGGUACUGGUGAUAAUACACAUGCACACACACACAUCUCAGGUUUAUCAUCUGUUAAAUAAGUUUCUUCAAAGUCUCUUUUAAGUCAAAAUAUACUAUGUCUUCAUGAAUCAUAAUUUUCCCUGAAGAAGAAGGACAUAUACUUAGGAAAAAACUGGACAUCCAGAUGAGUUCAUGGAUAUCCAAGAAAAAAAGAGCUUCCUCCUUUACUAUUCCAUUCUCUCUUAUGUCUCUACCUAGAGCAGUGUCUGAAGGUAGCAGAAACUCAGUAGUACUUUUGGAAGAAUGGACAAAAUACAGAAAGUCAGGAAGGAAGGAGGAAAAGUUGCAGGUUAGGGACUCAAGCCUUCUGUCAUGGUCUUUUUUGCCCUGGCUCUAGUAUACAUAUCCUGGUCGCACUGAAGAAGGAUUGGGUUGAGAUCAGGGCAAGGCACUUUCAGAUCAGGCAACCAGGCAGAGUCUUCGUAUAGAGAAGGAAAUUAAAUUCUCUUGUUCUUAGGAAGCCCAAAGUUCCAUAGCAGCUGUUUAUAUUUUUCUAGUUCCCUAGGGAAGCAGGCAGUAGAAGAAAACUGUGCUUCUGACUUAGAGUGAUAGGCAUCUUUUUAUUUAGCCAUGACUACUCUCAAAGUUUCACCUGCUUCAGAGAAAGUCAUCUCAGGCAUAUAUUUUCAGAAAUCUUUGUCUUUCUGGGGUAAGUUGUUGCAUUCUAAGGGGUGCUCUUGCACCAUCCCACUCAGGUUUGCACAGCAACACAUUCUCAAGCAGUUUCUGUCUGAGAGUAUCCCACAGGCACAGCUUCAUCAUAAUGGCACUUAGCAUCUCGAUAGUACUUAUUUUGGAGGCACUCUGCAAACAUUAGCUAAUUAGUCCUUAUAAAGGCCUUGUGGUAGAACCAUGUCUAUUCAUUUUCUAGCAGUGGGCAAGUGAAAUGAAAAGGCAGUAUCAAUAAAUCUGUUUACAAGGCCACAGAGGGAGGAGAGUGGCAUUUGGGACUUGUGGGAAUAUGGUCCCUAAGGUGAUGCUAAAGAUAACUACAAAUCAACUGUGUCGCCAGUUGGAGAUGAUUGCUACUUAUUCCUUUAAUCCUUUGAUGAAAAUGAUUACUUUUAAAGAAACAGCAUAUGAGUUACUAUUAAUAAGAAAAAGAACUGAUUUGAUAGUAACAGGUGAAUAGCACAGGUAUAGAUAUUUAGGGGUGGGACUUAUGAAUUUGUGCUAAUCAUUUGUCAAAUUUAAAUUGUCUCUCUUUCACUGAACACCAAAAAUAAAAUAACUCCUGGCCAUGCUAUUUUGUAAUAUUCUACUUAGACCACACUUUUACAGACUUAUAUUUUCCAUUGUUUUAACCAUGCCUACAUCUAAAAGUGUGUAUUGAGUACUCAAUAUUUACUAGACGUUCUGUAAGGGAGUGGUUUUCAUCAUGAAAGUAAACUGGGUCACGAUAGAGUGGAAGACCUGAUGGAGUUCGGGGCAAAUAAAAUAAUUCCAUUUAAAGAAACAGCAUAUGAGUUAGUAUUAAUAAGAAAAAGAACUGAUGGUAGAGUGGUUUGAAAGAUAGGAAAGGUCAUCAUAUUUAAGGUGUUUUCUGUCUAAUGAAGAAGACAGGGAAAUAAAUGCACAAUCACCAUGAGACUUAUGAUUCAGAGGAGGACACCAUAGACAUAGUUCAGGGUAGGUCAGAGGCAAGGAAAAACUCCUAGAUGAAGAAAUAUUUAAGGGAGAUCUAAUAUAUGCAUAGAAAUUAGGCAGAUAAAGAGGUGAAAGGGUGAGUUUGGCUUAUAUUUCAUCAUAGUAAUAAAAUCUCUGGACAUGUAUAUUGUUUGAUAAUGUAUACCACAUUUUCAAAUUUGUUGCUGAAUAAGAGAUGCCUAAACCUACUCAGAGAAAACCAGACCUGGAAUUACUGUCAUCAUGUAAGACCUGAGGAAAGAGAAACCCCAAAAGUUAAAAGUCGACAAGACUUGAUAGCUGAAAAGUGCCAUAGCCAGAGCUCAGGCUCAGGAAUAAAAUCCUGUUCACCAUGAUAAUUUAAAAAAAUUCGGAUGAAGAAAUUAGCUUUCUGAUUUUUAGCCCUGAUUUAAUCAUAAAAUUAUUUCUCUAGAUUUGUCUAGAGGUACAUUUCAUGGCCCGUUCCUCCCAAUUGUCCAACCUCAUUUGCUACUUAAAAUAGGCCCUCUUUUUCCUUCUGAAAGACAUUGUACUCUCAAUAAAAAUGGGAAUUUUUUCUUCAUAAACAAGUAACACUCAAACACACUGGAAAUAAAAUCCUCUAAGAAAAUAUAUUAGAUCUCUUCAUCAAUACAGCCAGGUAACCUGUUUUCUCAGCUUUGAAAUCACAUAGUAGCAGUAGAAGGUGUUAGAAUGAAAAAGCACUUAUUUAAAACACAAAUAUUCGUGAUGGUAGCAGCAGUGUAUAACAGAACUGACCAGGGAAAUUGGUUUUUGAAUAAUUGUUUUUAUUGUAUUUCUCUUCACUGGUAGUAAUAAAUAUCUCUCUGGAAGAAACGUACAAGCAGUCCUGGAUGUUGAACAUUUCCAUAAAUUAGCAGUGUCCCCAUGGCAGGGCUCAGUUUUUCUGCACCCCUCCAUUGCAGUGAAGCAGUUUAGUGCUGGAUAAUAGACAGUUAACUGGAACUCCAGGUUACGCCUCAUUCUGCUACCUUGCACCAUGCUGCCAUCUUUUGAAUAAAAGUCCCACUUCCCGCUCUGAAAUGGAAAUUGGCAUUUCUAAAAAUCUCUGUAGAUCAAAGUUGUAUAAUUUCAGAGAUGGCGAUUGAUAUGAUCAUGGUUUCAUACCCACUCCAAGCAUGUUCUCCACAUUCAUUUAAUAGCAUUUGUUCAACAGUUAUUUUAGCUUCUCCUCUUGCCAGCCUUUUAUGCUUGGCAAAGACAAUGAAAAUACAGUAAAGAAGAAAGGCACAUUCUCAUAGUCUGUAUAUGAGACCAGAUCAAUAUCAAUCCAAUAAUCACACGCAUAAAUGUAGAAUUUUAUGAAGACAUCUAUAGAAUAAAGAAAAAUAAUGCUAGGAGAACAUCGAAUAGGUGAGCCUGAACUAGUCUAAGGCAAUAAGAAAGUCUCUUCUAAGAAAGUCACUUUUAGGCUAAGAAGUAAUAGAUAGUAGGUAUUAUCAAUCAAGAAGCAGGAGAAAGUGCGUCCCAAACAGAUGAGAUUCAGAAUUCAGUAUGAUGCAUUUUUAAAGCUGAUGGUAUCCCAUUGUGGGUGGAAAACAGGAAUGUGCUUUUUGACUAGAGGUUGAAGAAUUAGGGUCUUGAGGACUUGUUUAAGUUUUGGGUAAAAGUGACAGGAAUCCAUUCAGGUAUUUCAAAGAGUAGAAGUAGAUGUGUUGAGGUGAAAUGUGAUCACCUUUGUGAUCGGAUGCAGGAACCAUUACAAUUUGCUCUCUUGUUAUAUUAGGUAUGAGUGGUCUUUCAAAUGACAAGGAGAAAGAAUUGUUGAGUAGUAGAGUUUACUGAUUCAGAGCUAGAAAUACAGAUCAGGAUUAUAGACAUAUAUUUGAUAGUUAUUUGCAUAGACUUCUGGUUGAACUGAAGCCCUAGGAACAGAAGUAAUUACUUAAGUGAUAAUAUUGGUGUGGCUACACAUGAUAUCAUCCUUUUCUUUUUCUUUCUCUUCUUUUCUUUUCUCUCUUUUUUUUUUUUUUUUUUGAGACAAGAGUCUUACUCUGUUGCCCAGGCUGGAGUGCAGUGGCAUGAUCUCGGCUCACUGCAAUCUCUGCCUUCUGGGUUCAAGCCAUUCUCCAGCCUCAGCCUCCCAAGAAGCUGGGAAGACAGGCACACACCACUGAAUCUGGCUAUUUUGUGUGUAUGUGUAUUUUUAGUAAACAUGGGGUUUUUCCAUUGUGGCCAGGCUGAUCUUGAACUGCUGACCUCAGGUUAUCUUCCCACUUUGGCAACCCAAAGUGCUGGGAUUACAGGCAUGAGCCACCAUGCCUCGCCAGUCUGGCCCUUUUCUAACAUAGUGAACAGAGCAGGUUUGGGGAUAGCAUUUGAAAAUCUCAGCUUUUGACAAACAGGUUUACAUGUCUGGGGACACAGUCAUUGAUGUAGCCAAUAAAUUGGGCUAGAAAGGUAAAGUAGGGAAUAUAUUAGUCUCUAGGGCUGCUGUAGCAAAUUACCAGAGGUUAGGUGGCUGAAGACAACAAAAUGUGUUCUUUCACUGUUUUGGAAGCUAGGAAUAUGAAAUCAAGGUGUCAUCAGGAUUGGCUCCUUCUGUAGGUUCUGGGGGAGAGGUUGUUCUAUAUUAUUCUUCUUGCUUCUAAUAAUUACUGACUAUCAUUGAUGUUCCUUGAUCUGUAGACACAUCAAUCUUUACUAUCAUCUUCACAUUGCCACAUUGCCUUUUUCUCUACAGCUGUGUGUCCUCUUCUUUUAAAGACACAAGUCAUUAGAUUUAGAGACCACCCUACAACCAGGAUGAUUUUGUUUUGAGAUUCUUAAUUAAAUCUGCAAAAAUUUUAUUUCCAGAUGAAGCAGAAUUUUCCUGACCUCUUUGUAGGACUCACAACAGGGGUGCUUCAUUUACCUAGCCCACCACUACAUGUCUGUAGUCCCAGCUACUCAGGAUACUCAGGGGUGGGAUCCCUUGAGCAAAGGAAUUCAAGUGCAGGCUAGGUAACAUGGCAAGACUUCCUCUUUUAAAUGGAAGUGCAUUGGAAAUUUCAAUGGGCUGUACAAAUGCAUAUUGUCAUUCUUCCAAUCAAAGUUGAUAGCAAUAAGGAGAAUAUAUAUAGAGAUAAAAUAUUUUAGCAUGUAGUAGUAUUGGCAGCAGUAUUUAUACUUGGGUCCACAUGUGACAUAGAAGUGCUUUCCUGUUUGUACUGUAUUGGUUACCGAUAGACCUUCUUUUUACAUCAUUUUAGAAGGACGAAUCUAUGUAAAUUUGAUAAGAAUAUAGAUAUAUUUUAAGGUGACUAUAGUUUCGUAAGUACAGUUGUUGGAACCUGGCUGAAAAUGUACUUGAUAUUUUUCUUGUCAAGUGUCCUUUUGUCAUCACAGUAUGGUGACACAAAUGAGAAUGAUUCAUAUAGGAAAUAAGAACUAGGAAACAGAAUUCAAGUUGCUGGUGGCAUCUUCUGAAGAAGUGACCUAGGAAGAAAGGGACUAAAUAUAUGCCAUGACUAAAUAGCAUCCACAGGAACUAAGAAAUAGAAUUCAAGCUGUUGAUGAGGUCUUUUGAAGAAGUAGCCUACAGGAAAAAGUGAUUAAAUAUAUUGCAAAUAUUUUCAGAGUAAUUAUAAGGGAAAGAAAAGUGAAAUUCUGUAUUUACCAUUGUAUAUGAAGACAUUCAUGAUUGCAUCGAUUAAAAAAUAAAAUAUAUGAAUAUUUAAAAUUAUAAUAAUAUACCUAAGGAAAUAAUAUUCAUAUUUUUAUAGUAAUUAAAACCAGGAAGUAAUGUAUUUUCACUUUAUCUGUUAAUCAAUCUACUUAUUAAGACAGUAAUUAUAGGUACUAUAUGAAUUCUGGUUAAAUGAGAAAGGGAAGACCACAAAAUGACAAAUUCUCUGCCACACAGAAUGUUAUUGCUCAUGACAAGAGGUUAGAUAGUAAAAAAAAUUGUGCUAAGGUUGUACAAUUUUGGAUAUAUAUAUAUAUUUUUAUUGUAUUUUGGGUUCUGGGGUGCAUGCAUAGAUCAUGCAGGGUUGUUGCAUUGGUGCAUACAUAACCAGGUGGUUUGCUGCCUCCAUUCCUCCUUCAUCUAUAUCUGGCAUUUCUCCUUAGGUUAUCCCUCCUUUCCUUCCCCACCCCACAUUGUCCCUCCCCUAACCCCUCAACUGACCCCAGUGUGUGAUGCUCCUCUCCAUGAGUCCACAUGUUCUCAUUGUUCAACACCGGCCUAUGAGUGUGAACAUAUGGUUUAGUUUUCUGUUCUUAUGUCAGUUUGCUGAGAAUGAUGGUUUCCAGAUUCAUCCAUGUCCCUACAAAGGAUACAAACUCAUCAUUUUUUAUGGAUGUAUAGUAUUCCAUGGUGUGUAUGUUCCUCAUUUUCUUUGUCCAGUCUAUCACUGAUCGGCAUUUGGGUUGGUUCCAAGUCCUUGCUAUUGUACACAGUGCUGCAAUGAACAUAUGUGUGCAUGUGUCUUUAUAAUAGAACAAUUUGUAGUCCUUUGGGUAUAUACCCAGUAGUGGGAUUGCUGGGUCAAAUAGAAUUUCUAUUUCAAGAUCCUUGAGGAAUCGCCACACUGUCUUCCACAAUGGUUGCACUAAUUUACAACCUAUUGUACACAGCGCUGCAAUGAACAUAUGUGUGCAUGUGUCUUUAUAAUAGAACAAUUUGUAGUCCUUUGGGUAUAUACCCAGUAGUGGGAUUGCUGGGUCAAAUAGAAUUUCUAUUUCUAGAUCCUUGAGGAAUCGCCACACUGUCUUCUACAAUGGUUGCACUAAUUUACACUCCCACCAACAAUGUGUGUUCCUAUUUCUCCACAUCCUCUCAGCAUCUGUUGUCUCCAGAUUUUUUAAUGAUCACCAUUGUAAAUGGUGUGAGAUGAAACCUCAAUGUGGUUUUGAUUUGCAUUUCUCUAAUGACCAGAGAUGAUGAGCAUUUCUUCAUAUGUUGUUUGGCCUCAUAUAUGUCUUCUUUUGAGACAUGUCUGUUCAUAUCCUUUACCCACAUUUGAAUGGGUUUGUUUGUUUCUUGUAUAUCUGUUUUAGUUCUUUGUUAAUUCUGGAUAUUAGCUUUUUGUCAGAUGGGUAGAUUGUAAAUAUUCUUGCCCAUUUUGUUGGUUGCUGGUUUACUCUAAUGACUGUUUCAUUUGCUGUACAGAAGCUCUGAAGUUUAAUUAGAUCCCAUUUGUCUAUCUUUGCUUUUGUUGCCCUUGCUUUUGGUGUUUUAGUCAUGAAGACCUUGCCUAUACCUAUGUCCUGGAUGGUUUUGCCUAGAUUUUCUAAUUAGAGUUUUUAUGGUGUUAGGUUUGAUGUUUAAGUCUUUAAUUCAUCUGGAGUUAGUUUUAGUGUAAGGUGUCAGGAGGGGGUCCAGUUUCUGCUUUCUGCACAUGGCUAACCAGUUUGCCCAACACCAUUUAUUAAACAUGGAGUUGUUUCCCCAUUGCUUGUUUUUGUUAGGUUUGUCAAAGAUUAGAAAAUUAUAGAUUUGUGGUGUUGCUUCUGAGACCUCCAUUCUGUUCCACUGGUCUAUGUCUCUGUUUUGGUACCAGUACCAUGCUGUUUUGAUUAUUGUAGCCUCGUAGUACCGUUUGAAGUCUGGCAGCGUGAUGCCUCUGGCUUUGUUCUUUUUGCUUAGGAUUGUCUUGGCCAUUCAGGCUGUCUUGUCCACAUGAAAUUUAAGGUGGUUUUUUCCCAGUUCCAUGAAGAAGGUCAUUCGUAGCUUGAUGGGGAUAGCACUGAAUCUAUAAAUUAUAUUGGGCAGUAUGGCCAUUUUCACAAUAUUAAUUCUUCCUAACCAUGAGCAUGGAAUGUUUUUCCACCUGUUUGUGUCCUUUCUUAUUUUGUUGAGCAGUGGUUCAUAGUUCUCCUUGAAGAGGUCCUUUACAUCCUUUGUUAGUUUUAUUCCUAGGUAUUUUAUUCUCUUUGUAGCAAUUGUGAAUGGCAGUUUGCUCUUGAUUUGGCUCUCUCUUUGUCUAUUCUUGGUAUUUAGAAAUGCUUGUGAUUUCUGCACACUGAUUUUGUAUCCUGAGACAUUACUGAUGUUGCUUAUCGGUUUCAGGAGAUUUUGGGCUGAGAUGAUGGGGUCUUCUAAAUAUACAAUCAUGUUGUCUGCAAAUAGAGACAAUUUGACUUCCUCUUUUCCUAAUUGAAUACCCUUUAUUUCUUUUUCUUGCCUGAUUGCUCUGACUAGAACUUCCAAUACUAUAUUGAAUGUGAGUGGUAAGAGAGGACAUCCUUGUCUAGUGCCUGAUUUCAAAGGGAAUGCUUCCAGUUUUUGCCCAUUCAGUAUGAUAUUGGCUGCAGGUUUGUUAUAAAUAGCUUUUAUUGUUUUAUGAUACAUUCCAUUGAUACCUAGUUUAUUGAUAGUUUUUAGCAUGAAGGGCUGUAGAAUUUUGUUGAAGGCCUUCUAUGCAUCUAUUGAGAUAAUCAUGUGGUUGGUGUCUUUGGUUCUGUUUAUGUGAUGGAUUACAUUUAUGGAAUUGGGUAUGUUGAACCAGCCUUACAUUCCCAGGAUUAAGCCUACUUGAUUGUGAUAAAUAAACUUUUUGAUGUGCUGUGCAAUUGGUUUUCCAGUAUUUUACUGAAUAUUUUUGCAUCUAUAUUCAUCAUGGAAAUUGGCCUGAAGUUUUCUUUUUUAAUUGCGUCUCUGCCUGAUUUUGUUAUCCAGAUGAUGUUGGUCCAUAAAAUGAGUUAAGAGAGGAUUCCCUCUUUUUGUAUUGUUUAGAAUCGUUUCAGAAGGAAUGGAACCAGCUCCUCUUUGUACAUCUGGUAGAAUUCAGCUGUGGACCUGUCUGGACCUGGACUUUUUUGUUGGUAGGCUAUCGAUUGCUGCCUCAACUUCAGCCCUUGUUAUUGGUCUAUUCAAGGUUUCAACUUCUUCCUGGUUUAGUCUUUGUAGAGUGCAAGUGUCCAGGAAUUUAUCCAUUUCUUCCAGAUUUACAGGUUUGUGUGCAUAGAGUUGUUUGUAGUAAUCUCUGAUGGUAGUUUGUAUUUCUGUGGAAUCAGUGGUGAUAUCCCCUUUAUCAUUUUUUAUUGUAUCUAUUUGAUUCUUCUCUCUUUUUUAUUAGUCAAACUAGUGGUCUAUGUAUUUUAUUGAUCUUUCCAAAAACAGCUCAUGGAUUUAUUGAUUUUUUUGUAAGGUUGUUUGUGUCUCUAUCACCUUCAGUUCUGCUCUGAUCUGAGUUAUUUCUUGUCUUCUGCUAGCUUUUGCAUUUUUUCAAUCCUACUACUGUAGCUCUUUCAAUUUUGAUGAUAGGGUGUCUAUUUUAGAUCAUUCCUUUUUUCUCAUGUGGGCAUUUAUUGCUAUAAAUUUCCCUCUUGACACUGCUUUAAGGGUGUCCCAGAGAUUCUGGUAAGUUGUGUCUUCAUUCUGAUUGGUUUCGAAGAACAUAUUUAUUUCUGCCUUCAUUCCAUUGUUUAUCUAGUCGACACUCAGAAGCAAGUUGUUCAGUUUCCAAGUAGUUGUGUGGAUUUGAGUGAGUUUCUUGAUCCUGAGUCCUAAUUUGAUUGUGCUGUGGUCUGAUAGACUGUUUGUUGAGGAGUGAUUUGCUUCCAAUUAUGUGGUCAAUUUUAAAGUGGGAUGUGGUGCUGAGAAGAAUGUAUAUUCUGUGAAUUUAGGGUGGAGCAUUCUGUAUAUGUUUAUUAGGCCUGCUUGGUCCAGGUCUGCAUUCAAGUCUUAAUGUCCUUGUUAAUUUUCUGUCUCAUUGAUCUGUCUAAUAUUAACAGUGGAGUAUUGAAGUCUCCCACUAUUAUUGUGUGGGAGUCUAAAUCUCCUUUUAGGAUGUUAAGAACUUACUAUAUGUAUCUGGGUGCUCCUGUGUUGGAGGCAUAUAUGUAGGGUAGUUAGCUCUUCUUGUUAAAAUGAUCCUUGUAUCAUUAUGUAGUGCCCUUCUUUGUCUCUUUUGAUCUUUGUUGGUUUGAUGUCUGUUUUAUCAAAGAGUAGGAUUGUAAUUCCUGCUUUUUUUUGUUCUCCAUUUGCUUGGUAAAUCUUCUUUCAUCCCUUUAUUUUGAGUCUAUAUGUGUCUUUGCAUGUGAGGUGUGUUUCCUGAAUACAGCAACCGAUGGGUCUUGACUUUUUAUCCAGUUUGCCAGUCUGUGUCUUUUGAUUGAGGCAUUCAGACCAUUUACAUUCAAUGUUAAUAUUGUUAUGUGUGCAUUUGAUCCUGCCAUUUUGUUACUGGCUGGUUUUCUUGCCCAUUAGCUGACUUCGUUUCUUCAUUGCAUUUUUGGUCUUUGCCAUUUGGUACGCUUUUGUGGUGGCUGUUUCUUGUUCCUUUCCGUGUUUAGUGUUUCUUUCAGGAGCUAGUCUAAGGCAGGUCUGGUAGUGACAAAAUCUCUCAGUAAUUGCUUGUCAAUAAAGCAUUUUAUUUCUUCUUCCCUUAUAAAGCUUAGUUUGGCUGCAUAAGAGAUUCUGGAUUGAAAGUUCUUUUCUUUAAUGAUGUUGAAUAUUGGCCCCCAAUAGAGCAUAGAUUAGGUCUUUUUAUAUAAUCCCAUAUUUCUUGGAGGCUUUGUCCAUUUCUUUUUGCUCUUUUUUCUCUUGUCUUGCCUUCUCUUUUCAUUUCAUUGAGUUGACCUUCAAUCUCUGACAUCCUUUUUUCUGCUUGAUCGAUUUGGCUAUUAAAACUUGUGUUUGCUUCACGUAGUUCUCAUACUGUGUCUUUCAGCUCCAUCAAGUCAUUUAUGUUCUUCUCUAAACUGGUUAUUCUAGUUAGCAUUUUGUCUAAUGUUUUUUCAAGGUUUCUAGUUUCUUUGCAUUGAGUUAGAACAUGUUCUUUUAGCUCAGAAAAGUUUGUUAUUACCCACCAUGUGAAGCCUGUUUCUGUUAGUUCAUUGAACUUUUUCUCUGUCAUGUUGUGUUUCUGUGUUGGUGAGGAGUUGCGAUUUUUUGAAGGAAAAGAGGCAUUCUCAUCUUUGAUGACUUCAUCUUUUCUGUGCUGUUUUUUUUCCCCAUCUUCAUGGAUUUAUCCAGCUCUGAUCUCAGGGAGCUGCCUGAUGAGGUCACUUGUCUGCCUGUUGAGGAGCUACUGAGUUUCCAGGGACUCCUUCAGGUUGCUAGGUAGGCUUCCUGUGUCUUUUUUGUUUACACUGGGAGAUUAGGCCCGCCUCUUUAAUGGUGGGUGCCCCUCAUACCACUGACCUGGAGGCGCUGCUGGGCUGUCAAGGACGCCGUCCCAUUGCUACUUAGGCUUCCUGUGUUUUUUGUUAAAACAUGAAGCCUAGUCCCACCUCUUUAAUGGUGGGUUGCCCCUUUCCUCCACGGAGCUGGAUCAUUCAAGGUUCAGCUCAGACUGAAGCACUGACUGUGAUACCCCCCAGAGUUAGUGCUUCAGCCUGCUGGGGUUUGUUGGGGAGGGGAGGGACAUGCCCAGCCUCACCCUGUGUCUUUGCACUUUCAGCUUCCUCUCUCUCAGAGGAGGGGGAGGGGGCAAUAGCUUGGUCUGCAGGCUCUCCCCUGCUGGCUUAUAGGCUCAUGGGUUUGCUUAGAUCUGUGUGACAAUCCAGGGCACCAUCCUGGAUUAUUAUUGAACUCUACUCUUGUAAUUCCUAGUGCUUGACUGGCAAAGAUCCCCUGUUCUGUGAAUUGCUGAGGCUUUGGGGGAAGCACCAUUUCUGAACUGGGAUGCUGGAGGGGAGCCCCCAGCUCACCGGUCAGAUGCACUUUCUGGGUGAAGCAGCACCCCUCCCUGCCUAGGUCUGCCCUGUCUUGGUUUUGCUCACCAUCUGACCAGACCUGUUGCAAUGAACCUGGUACCUCAGUUGGAGCUAGGAGAUCUCCUUGGAUGUUUUCUAAUUUUUUAAAAAUAGAUGCCAGGUUGCUUGGCUUUUAUGUUUUUGAAUAAAAUAAGAAAUGUCUGUUUGAAAAUAGAUCUUGAGAAAUUAAUUUAACCAGGACAAUACAUUUUCUUUCUUUCUUCCGCACUCUCCCACUUCUUUCGAAUUUUCUUUGUUACACUCAACUCCAUAAUCUUUUUCUUCUCUCAGGAACUACCUUACCUUCUUUUAAUAUAAAAAACUGAUGCCAACAGAUUGAUAUUAUUUCAACUUUCUGCCACCAAAUUGACACCUAAUCACACCUUUGCCCAUCUCUUCUUCCUACUAGAUAAAGAAGUUAUGUACCUGCAGUCUCAGAAACCCAACCCAAAUAUACUCAGAGUAGAAUGUAUUGGCUUAUUUUAUCUGAACACCUGAAAAUUGAGCUGAAUUUCAGCACAGGCCUAUCCAACAAUAUCAUCAGAGCUCUAUCUCCUACCUUGGUUCUCCUUGUCAGCCUCAUUGUCACACAGAUUCCCUCAGUUAUAUUUAUGUAUAUGUGCUAUGUUCUUUUUUUUUAAUCAUAUUCUCAAAUGAGAAGUUAAUUCUUCCAGAGUCCAAGGACUACCAAUUUACAGCUGGGAACUAUGCACAAAUAUAAGUAGAUAGGCUGAUAUUGAAUAAAUUAAGAAUUUUUACAGAUAUCUAGGUGAGGAUACUGCUUCUCAUUCAAUAGUAAAUGAAUGCCGUACCUUUAAAUCAUGUAAUAAAUUCUAGAAAACUGGCCAGGUGGCAUGGUGACUCAUGCCUGUAAUCCCAGCACUUUGGGAGGCCAGGGUGGGUGGAUCAUGAUGUCAGGGGUUCAAGACCAGCCUGGCCAACAUGGUGAAACUCCGUCUCUACUGAAAAUACAAAAAUUAGCUGGGCAUGAUGGCACAUACCUGUGAUCCUAGUUACUCAGGAGGCUAAGGGAAAAGUACUGGGACCCUGAAGGUGGAGGUUGCAGUGGGCUGAGAUCACUCCACUGCACUACUGCCUGGGCUACAGAUCGCUCCACUGCAAACAGCCAAGGCUAUUUUUGAGACACUGUCUCAAAAAAUAAAAUAAAAAAGUAAAUUAAAACAAUAAAAAAAUUAAAAGUAAACUCUAGAAAACCAAAAACACAGAACAUUUUUCAUAAACCCUGGGGCAAAAUGUCAUGGUUUUCCUGAUGUGUUAAAAUGGGCUUCUUGAUUUAUCAAGUUUAGAAAUUCAUGAAUACCACUUCUUUUCUUUUUUCCCACUCUUCUUUCCUAUUUGCUCCCUUCCCUUAUUGAUGUGUAUUUAUCUAAUGUAUUGCUUUUAAUAGUCAAGUAAUAUUUUAUAUGAUGAAUUAUUAUAUAUCCUUUUGCGAUGCUAUCUUUCUGUGUAAUCUCAAUUUAUUUUUAUUGCCAUAAAAAUACUGAAAUGAAUUUCUUUAUAUAUAAAUCCUGAUUACUUGUUUCUAUAGGUUAGAUUUACCAAAUGAAGUCUCUUGGAAAUACUGUUAGAGCAAGGCAACAUUAUCUCAAAAACACCCUUUUGUAGCUUCAAUACCCAGUCUUACUAAAGUUAUGAAACUUCUUCUCACCAAAAUACUAUUUCUUAAACUCCAAAGAAUUUUAUUUCCAUGAUUAUUUAGAAAGUGUUUUUCAGAGAUGAUGGAAUGGAUUCAUUACAGUGGUUUAGCAAAAAUUUUAAAGUGGUUUUUUGCUCAUUGUUGAGUAAGAGACAGUAGCUCUCUUUCUUUUGAUGUUCUGCUGCUGCUUCUUGUCAGUUUCUCACUUUGAACACAUUUUUUUAAAUGAGUGCUUUUAAUUAUUUUUUAUAAUUUAGUGUUUUUCUCAGAAUUAAUAGUUUAAAGAAAUGAUCAUUGUAUUAUUUACCCAUUUCAUGUGAGAUUGUCUUGUACUCUUACAUCAGAAAAUGUUGCUCUCUCAUAGAAUUUUCAGAGUACUAUUUGGCCUCUUAUUUCCAUGCUAAUUCCUGAUGCAUUAUUCAUCUGUUUUGAAGACUUUGUUUUUCUCUCACACUAUUAAUGACAAUCAUCAUUUGGAAUGUUUCAUGUGCUUUAUCUCAUUUUAUCCUCUCACAACAGUCAUCUGAAGCAUGUAGUCUUACAGUUCCUAUUUUAAAUAUAUAGGGAUUAACAUAUUGAAAUAAUUCACUCAGGGUCAGGGUUAGUAAAUUGCGGAGACUGAAGUGAACUCAGAAAAUAUAGAUUAGUAUUUACACAGUUGAUUUUUAAGAUUUACUUCUUGGAAAAAUGUUGACUUCUAGUAGGUACCUAGAAAUUGGUAUUAGUGACUGAGAUUUGAGAAAGUCAUAUACUUUUUGCUAUGGAGAAGAGCAACAGGUACUUCUGAACUCAUGCUAGCAAUCCAGGUUCCAUUAGUGAAUUGGUGUUGAGAUACAUUUUGGGGGAGAUAAUUUAUUAGGUUUCAAUAUUUAAUAGUUUGUUAAAUAUAUAGUCACUGGCCCCUCUUUUAGUGCUACCAUAAAUAGAACUUUGUAUUACUCUGGAUUGACAGCUACCAAUAGAUCGCAUUUAUACUUUUAAGAGGGUACCUACAGUUGUAUAAACCCAAGAGAAAUCACAGAAGGGUGAGCAGUUGCCACAAGAACUCUCCCCUAGAAGGAAGGUCAGUAGACAUUUUCUGUUUUCCAGUAUUUUGGUCCUGAAUGAUCUGGAUUGCCUUACACUGAUCCUUGUAAACAGAUGCCUUUGCAUGUAGAUUAAGAAUUUAUUUCUGUUUAUUGAAAAUCCCAACCCCUUUGGGCUCUGUUCUAAUCCUUGAUUUCCAAACUGGAAGCUUCUCUUGACAUUUCAGCUUUAGUCAGAUUGUCCUAUGUGACCUUACAGGUGCUAUAUGGUCAAUCAUUUCUAUUGACUACCAACGAACUAGUUCUAGGAGAUCAUUAUGGGAAGAUUCAGGAUCUGAAAUGUUGGGUGACCUCAGUCUCUUAUUGUUUUUUUUUUUUUUUUUUUUUUUUUUGAGACAGAGUUUCACUCUUGUUACCCAGGCUGGAGUGCAAUGGCGCGAUCUCGGCUCACCACAACCUCCUCCUCCUGGGUUCAGGCAAUUCUCCUUCCUCAGCCUCCUGAGUAGCUAUGAUUACAGGCACGCGCCACCAUGCCCAGCUAAUUUUUUGUAUUUUUAGUAGAGACGGGGUUUCACCAUGUUGACCAGGAUGGUCUCGAUCUCUUGACCCUGUGAUCCACCCGCCUCAGCCUCCCAAAGUGCUGGGAUUACAGGCUUGAGCCACUGCGCCUGGCCCCUCAGUCUCUUAUUUUAUCCUUAGGGAUAUAAUUACUCCAACAAAGUCACAUUGUACCAAUACCUGGCCACCAUUUGGGAUCAUGCCAAUCCCCAAUGGUGGUGGAAGCAGAAGAGGGCAAAAGAAAAACGUGUAUAUUUAUUUUUAGAGUUCUAUGAUGUCAGAUAUCUCUAUGGUUCACAGGCUUCACAAGUUGCUGAAAAUUUAAAAGAUAAUAACCUUGCAUGUGUUUGGUAGAUAAAAGAGAGUUAACAUCACCUACCUUAUAUACAUUUUGUAAAUAUAUAAUGGCUCACAAAUAGUUGCUACUAUUUGUUGAGUGUUUAUUAUAUUGCAGAUUCUGUGGUAAUAAUUUAAAAGGUUGUAUUUCAUUUCACACUCAGGAAAACUCUGUGACGUAAAUUUGGUCAUUACGAUCAUCUCAAAGAUGAGAAAACUAAAGUUCAGAAAAGCUAAAAAGGCAUUCCUAAGUUCUCAUGGCUGGUAAAGGGUAGAACAAGAAUUUGAUUGACUUCAAUACUUUUAACCAUGAAACUUACUCAACAGAAAGAUAUACUACAAUAAAGUAAUUGUGUUUUUCGCCAUUACUUUCAAUGGCAAAAAUCGCAAUCGCUUUUACACAAACCUACAAAUAGUAUGUAGGUCAUGCCAAAAAGUACAUUCCAUUAUCAGAUUCUACCAAAUAAAUAGCAUUAAGAAAAAACAGUGAAGAAAUUAGAUUCUCCCAAACUAGCUGUCCAUGUCUUGGUUGUCCAGCAUCCUUUACCUAGUCAUAGGAAAGAAUGUCAAAUAAAAAUUAAAAACCCAUUUGUUAUUUGUCUAAUGAAAGUGUAUCCAGGAGGCUGGAUGCAGUGACUCAUGCCUGUAAUCCCAGCACUUUGGGAGGCUGAGGCAGGUGGAUCACAAGGUCAGGAGAUCAAGACCAUCCUGGCUAACACGGUGAAACCCUGUCUCUACUAUAAAUAGAAAAAAACAAAAAUUAGCUGAGAGUGGUAGCAUGUGCUUGUAGUCCCAGCUACGUGGGAGGCUGAGGCAGGAGAAUUGCUUGAAUCCAGAAGAUGGAGGUUGCAGUGAGCCGAGAUCGCACCACUGUACUCCAGCCUGGGUGACAGAGCGAGACUUCAUCUCAAAACAACAACAACAACACACACAUACACACACACACACACACACACAAAAGUGUAUCCAGGAAACAAGCUACAGUAAACUGAUAUUAUUUAACAUAAACAAUAACAGGAGAUUUAGUUGUUUGAAAAGAAAUUCUUAAGAGUGAGAAUUUAUGUGAAAAUCAAGUGAGAUCCCAAGAAAGCCAAGAAAUAUAAAUGAAAGUGUCAUGUUCUGGGAAAAAAAAUCCAUUAUUCAAAGACGGUCUUUGUUUUCUGAUGAUGUCUUAAGUCUUUACAUCUUGGAGAUUAUCUAGGGAAUCCUCUUGGCAUAACCAAGUACAGAGUUGUCAUUUCUGAAUGUGUUACUCAAUUUUCUAAAUUGCAAUACAUUCACUUUUCCCAAAGACUGAGAGAAAAUGAAAUAAAGAGCAUUGUGAACAAAACAAUCUCCAGCAGUUUCCAAUGACCCCUUUGGGCAAGAGGUCUCUGUAAAAGAAGGAAAAGGGUAGUUUCUUUAUUCCCAUCUUGUAUUAAUACUGCCGUGGAGAGGCACAGUUAAGAAUACCCAGUAACGCAAUAAUUAAAUACUCAAGCCAAAUACAUCAGACUUUAUUUCCACUGAAGAGAAUGUACACUGGUACAUGGAGUGGGAAAGGUGUUUUGGAGGCAAAUGUUCAAAUCAGCAGGAAUGUUACACCUCUUCUAAUUCACAGUUUAUAGAGAUGACCUCUCCAUAAUUGUCUCCAGUUGAAUUCUCUUAUUCACUGCCUCCUUUUGAUUCUGAUCAUGAGUUUGAGAGAUGACAUCUAUAUUGUGUUAUGAGACACAAUAAAUCUAUUUACCCACCCUCCAUGCCUCUUACAAUGAAAAUGGUAAUAGCAUCAAUUAUGGCAUUUUAGUCUCCUCUGGCCAGUCUAUAUUAAAAUGUGUUCUCAUCUUCCACUCAUAUCACACUACCUAUAUUUUCAUUGUUUACUCCUCCAAUAUUGGAGAACAUGACACGUGUUCUUUUGUGACUACUUAUUAGUCAUAAUGAACCUGAUAAAGUCAUUGAAAUCAUCACAUUUCUUCUCCCAUAUCACUUAAGCAUAUUUACUUCUAUUACUAGAAAAACUGUCUUCCUAACUUUGUUGCUGUCAGGCAACUCUCCGCUGAAGCUGUCAAGCUCUUUUAACAUAAUAGUUCUUUUCUGCUGUUAUCACCUCACACAAGACAGGUAAUCCUUCACCUUAUAUUUCUUUCUGUAUUCAGUAAUAGUCAGGGUGUUUAGAUGCAUUUUUAAAACAAAAGGCCAAAGGGAGCAAUCUGAAGGAAUCUAAACAAAAAGGAACUAUAGAAUAUAAAAAUAUUUCAAUGUCACUCAGAUGAAAAGGACCCAAUAUCAUCAUUGAGCAGUUAACAGGUUGUUACUAAGUAUUUGUGGUGUGCAGAGCCUCAUACCAUGUCAUAUGCAAUCCUGUGGUGAAUGUACUUAUUUAUGUAUCCUCCUGAACUACUCAUUCCAAGAGCCUUGCUACUCAUAGUGGGAUCUGCAUGUUGGGCCAGUCUGUGAGGAAAUAGUUAUAGAAAUUGAGAGUUAGCAUUGUAAAACCUUUAUAUAAACAGGAUAACUUUAUGACCAUUGAAACUGAAAAAUAUUAAUUUUUUUCUUUUCAGACCUGAAAAACAUAAAUUUUUCUUUUCAAACCCUAAAUGUAGCAUUUGAAAAAAAAAACUUAAAAGCUUAUAUUUUAUACUGAUUUUGUGCCUUUUUUCUAGUGAUUUAUAUAUUUUUAUUAACUAUUGGUCUAAGACAGAAUGGGAGGAAACUGUUCUCACCACAGAUAAUUCAGAGGCACUGCCAUGAGUAUGGCAUAUUUCUUGACCAGCUCUGUAUUUCCUCAUUGCAUCCUGAAAUAUAAUAAAAUCUGCUUUGGGCAAACUAUCUAUUCAUAGUUGAUAUAUUCCAAGUGUUAUAUACAUUUUACUAUAUAUAUAUUAGUACUAUAUAUUCCAAGACCAAAAGCAAGCAAGAUGACUAGAAAACCAUGUUCCAUCAGUGUUAUUUAUGUCUUGUAAUUUCAAUAUCUUCACCUCUGCUAGUUAAAUGAGCUCUGCUAAUCAACAGUGUGGGCACCACCUGGUUAGAAAUGCAGAAUCUCAGGCCUACAGAAUCAGAAGCAGCAUUUUAACAAGAUCCCCAGGUGGUUUUUAUGCCCAUGAAGUUUGAGGUACAUUGGCUCAGACCAAUGUGGAGGCUCCUAAAAUGUCAAAAACUUCAUAGCUUCUAUGAAUGUCACUGACCGUAGAAACUUCAGUGCAACAUGAAGCACAUUUCAUUAGUCAGGGCUUCAGCUCAUAAAAAAUAAUGCCAAUCUACAACUAAAUCCCUGAGUUUACUUGAUUUUGAUUCUAAACUUAUUCUCAGCAUUCUUUUGCUACUUACAUGCCAGAACUCCUUGAACAGUAUAAGAGACCAUAGUGCCUGUCUAUAAUUCAGACUGGAAAAGAUUGAAAUGUAAAUCACCCUGGGCUCUUUUAAUUUAAUAUAGUCAAAUUCAGUUAUCCUGUAUUAACCCCAAUCUAAGGUACACAGAGAACCUGGCCAGAAGAUCUCUCUGGUCAAUCUGCCUAUUAUAUAAUGAAGAGAACUAGGACAGGGAUUAAAAACUAGUGGAAAAAGCAUUUGCUUGAGAAGCCCAUAACUUCAAACUUAAGUUGUGAAAUAUUCUAAAUUAAAGAAAGGCCUGCUCUUUAAUUGAUUCAUGGAGGAAGGGUUUUCUCUCCCAAAGGACUAUGAGUUCUUAAGGAAUCUUGCUAAAUAUUUUCCUAUCAACCAUUUCACUGUCUUGUCUGGCAUCAUCUAUUGCUGGUCACCUCUUCCUCUUUGCUAAUUCUAUUCUUUGAAUAUGUUUCAAGUUGUUGCAGUUUUUACAUCUCCCAGAGAGGCAGCACAACAUAAAGGAAAAAUAUAUGGCCAGCUCUAGAUUCAGACAAACUUUGGCUACAUUUUCAGCUUUGCCACUUACAAGCUGUGUAUCCUUGAGCAAUUUGGCUAACCUUUAUGAACCUCUGUGGCUACAUGAAUAUCAAAUUUGGGUUACAAGAAUGGCAGUGAACAAAAUAAGAUGUUUGGAAAUGAUGGUUGUCACCAUUAUGCAAUUACUGUAUAUGUAUAAAAAUAUGCUGUAUAAAUGCGUGUGUAUAAAUUAUAUAUGUGUGCAUGUGUUUGUGUGUGUGUGUGUGUGUGUGUGUGUGUGUGUGUGUAUGCUUUGUUGACCACACUGAGCUUUGAACUCCAUGAAUUCUUUAUCUUUAGAUUUCCAUUGACUUGCCUAGUACUUAAAAUGAUUGCUGAAUGGAAAUAGGAUGAAUGACAUAAUGAAUGAAUGAAUGAAUGAAUGAAAAGAUAGAUAAACAUUAAUUGAACUAAAUUGAUAGAAUGCAAUGCUGUCACCAUUCUUGAUUAGUCCCAAAGGCUAUAUAUCUAUGUAUCUUCCCAUGUCUUAUUAUCCUUAUAGUUGUACUUAACCAUAGUGCAUUUUUCACACUUCCAGGUUUAAUGUCAAUUUCUCCCCUUUGGGAAACUCUUCUAGACUAAGUCAAUGUUGCUUUUUUCU
This is a long non-coding RNA of Callithrix jacchus (white-tufted-ear marmoset), 25125 nucleotides long. RefSeq lists it as uncharacterized. The record is from RefSeq and is a predicted model, not a curated record. NCBI's taxonomy places the organism in Eukaryota, Metazoa, Chordata, Mammalia, Primates, Cebidae.